Vespula vulgaris is the source of this 2307-nucleotide long non-coding RNA. RefSeq lists it as uncharacterized. The record is from RefSeq and is a predicted model, not a curated record. Lineage: Eukaryota; Metazoa; Arthropoda; Insecta; Hymenoptera; Vespidae. The transcript has 5 exons.
AUUCAGGCUUGUUUCACUUCUUAUCUUUCUGAGCAGCGAUUUAUUGUAUUCUGGAUAAAUGAAACAGUGCUCUUUCUGCUCUGUCCCCCUUCCCCACACACCCCAUCAAAGUAUAUGAAAACCAUUUUCUUAUCACCAUUGUACCCCACACCUUAACGAGUAGUUGUUUCGCGACGCACGUGAUGAAAUUUAUAUGUAGAAAAUAUGACUGUUCGUACCCCUAUUAUUUGACAAAAGAAAAAAGUAUUUAGGAAAUACAAACGCAUUGUUUCAAUGCAAAAAAUCAACGUAUUAAGAAUAAAAAAAUCACAAUCAAUGAUGCAUCGCAUGUUAAAAGGUGGUUUAUUCGUAUCAGAAAUCGGUUACAGUUUAUGGCUCAAAUCCGACCCCAAUACAUGUAUAUCGAGUUACAGCAAUUACAAAUGUUUUAGAUCUAUCUAUGUAAGUAAAUUUAGGCAGAAAGUUCCUCGAUAGCUCAGAUGGUAGAGCAUUCACCCGAAAAUUGAAAGGUCCCGGGUUCGAGCCCCGGUCGAGGCACCCAGCGAAAAACCUCAUCCACGACUCCUACUCUCGUUGCAAGAAAAAACGUUACAUUCAGGCUUGUUUCACUUCUUAUCUUUCUGAGCAGCGAUUUAUUGUAAUGUGGAUAAAUGAAACAGUGCUCUUUCUGCUCUGUCCCCUCCACCACACACCACACCUAAGUAUAUGAAAACCAUUUUCUUAUCACCAUUGUACCCCACACCUUAACGAAUAGUUGUUUCGCGAGGCACGUGAUGAUGAAAUUUAUAUGUAGAAAAUAUGACUGUUCGUACCCCUAUUAUUUGACAAAAGAAAAAAGUAUUUAGGAAAUACAAACGCAUUGUUUCAAUGCAAAAAAACAACGUAUUAAGAAUAAAAAAAUCACAAUUAGUUGUAUAGACGGAAUGUUAAAAGGUGGUUUAUUCGUAACAGAUAUCGGUUACAGUUUAUGGUGCAAAUCGGACCCCAAUAACAUGUACAUCGAGUUACAGCAAUUACAAAUGUUUUAGAUCUAUCUAUGUAAGUAAAUUUAGCCAGAAAGUUCCUCGAUAGCUCAGAUGGUAGAGCAUUCACCCGAAAAUUGAAAGGUCCCGGGUUCGAGCCCCGGUCGAGGCACGCAGCGAAAAACCUCAUCCAUGACUCCUUCUCUCGUUGCAAGAAAAAACAUUUCAUUCAGGCUUCUUUCACAUCUUAUCUUUCUGAGCAGCGGUUUAUUGUAUUAUUGAUAAAUGAAACAGUGCUCUUUCUGCUCUGUCCCCUCCCCCACAUACCCCACCCAAAGUACAUGAAAACCAUUUUCUUAUCGCCAUUGUACCCCAACCUUAACGAGUAGUUGUUUCGCGACGCACGUGAUGAAAUUUAUAUGUAGAUAAUAUGACUCUUUCAUACCCCUAUUAUUUGACAAAAGAAAAAAGUAUUUAGGAAAUACAAACGCAUUGUUUCAAUGCAAAAAAUCAACGUAUUAAGAAUAAAAAAAUCACAAUCAACGAUAUAGUCGUGUACAUUAAAAGAUGUUUAUUCGUAUCAGAAAUCGGUUACACUUUACGGUGCAAAUCGGACCCCAACAACAUGUACAUCGAGUUACAGGAAUUACAAAUGUUUUAGAUCUAUCUAUGUAAGUAAAUUUAGCCAGAAAGUUCCUCGAUAGCUCAGAUGGUAGAGCAUUCACCCGAAAAUUGAAAGGUCCCGGGUUCGAGCCCCGGUCGAGGCACGCAGCGAAAAACCUCAUCCACGACUCCUACUCUCGUUGCAAGAAAAAACGUUACAUUCAGGCUUGUUUCACUUCUUAUCUUUCUGAGCAGCGAUUUAUUGUAUUCUGGAUAAAUGAAACAGUGCUCUUUCUGCUCUGUCCCCCUUCCCCACACACCCCAUCAAAGUAUAUGAAAACCAUUUUCUUAUCACCAUUGUACCCCACACCUUAACGAGUAGUUGUUUCGCGACGCACGUGAUGAAAUUUAUAUGUAGAAAAUAUGACUGUUCCUACCCCUAUUAUUUGACAAAAGAAAAAAGUAUUUAGGAAAUACAAACGCAUUGUUUCAAUGCAAAAAAUCAACGUAUUAAGAAUAAAAAAAUCACAAUCAAUGAUGCAUCGCAUGUUAAAAGGUGGUUUAUUCGUAUCAGAAAUCGGUUACAGUUUAUGGUUCAAAUCCGACACCAAUACAUGUAUAUCGAGUUACAGCAAUUACAAAUGUUUUAGAUCUAUCUAUGUAAGUAAAUUUAGCCAGAAAGUUCCUCGAUAGCUCAGAUGGUAGAGCAUUCACCCGAAAAUUGAAAGGUCCCGGGUUCGAG